This is a long non-coding RNA of Orbicella faveolata, 410 nucleotides long. Lineage: Eukaryota; Metazoa; Cnidaria; Anthozoa; Scleractinia; Merulinidae. The record is from RefSeq and is a predicted model, not a curated record.
AAUACGGCAAGGCCUCAGUUUGAGAUUUUCCCGUAACGACCUCACUCUCGGUUAUUAAGUAGUUAAUAUCGCCUUGGUGUCAUCAGCAUACUGUAAAAGUUUCGUUUCUUGCUCUUCUCCGGUAUAAAUUCCUUUAAUGUCCGAAUUCUGUCAACUUGAACAAUAAUCAACUAAGUGAGUCUUAAGUUUGGCUUUACUAACUAAUUGUGUCAUUUUGAUAAAUCAAGUCAGCAGUUUAAUUUAUCGCUGCCAUUAGGUGAAGCUACAUAAUGGAUUUCAACAAUUUCCUGCUGUGUUUAACAUUCAAGAUCUUGAAGUGGAAGAUUUUCAUAAUGGUGAUUUAUCACAAGAUGACGAUGAGGAAGAAGAUCUUCUUUCCGAAAGACCACUACAUGAGGUGUACCANUUGU